This 960-nucleotide long non-coding RNA is filed under the name Mus pahari (shrew mouse). RNAcentral's name for it is "lncRNA (MGP_PahariEiJ_G0004407.1)". The record is from RNAcentral. Lineage: Eukaryota; Metazoa; Chordata; Mammalia; Rodentia; Muridae.
AUCUGUUUCCCAUCUGUGGGGGGAGGAAAGCGUAGAUUGCAAACGUUCUCCGAGGUCCUGUUUUGGCCCAGGUUUUCGAAGCCCUAGCUCUGUUGACCUCUGAGAACUAAGGACUAACGCCCCCACCUUCUCCUCCCAAUGCUCCGGGUUCCCUUUUUGAGGCUCUCUAUGGCUCUCCCCUAGUGUGGGGAACCCACAGAGGAAGUAGCCAGUGUCUUUUCUCUUUGAAAUUCCUUUUCACCUUGGCACAUGCAUCCAUCCUGGCCCAGACCCACCCUUCAGAAGUCGUUAUUCCUUAACCCACUCUAAACGGGCACAGGUGACAAAGCAAUCAAACUCUACAGUCAAAACUGAAGUACACAUCGGGAUUUCCCAUUGGUUUCCUGGUCUGGGUAGAAAGAGGAAUAGGGAGAGGAGAUGAGGGGAGUGGAGGCCGCGAUGCACUCAGGAAAAGUCUUGGUGGCCACUUUUGAGGACACUGGCCUAGCACCAGUCUGGAGGUGAGAGCGGGACCGAGCGGGUACUAAGGUUGCAAUGGCGGCGUUGUGCCCAGAUGUCGAGUAUAAACCUGCGCCGGUGAACACUUCCCAGUACCCUCGACCCAACUCGGUACAACAUCGUCUCCCCGAAAGACGCAAAUCGGGCCUUGUGCUUAAAUGGGUUAUCUGCUGCUGUACAGUGACCCCGCCGCACAUCAAAGAUCCUGCUUUGACUCCUUAGACUUAAGCUCAGCAAAUGUAGGUCUGCUCUAAUUUCAGACCUACUCCCAAGAACUCACUCUUAGGAGCUAUGCUAGGAACAUUCCCCUCUUACAUGUUUUCAAAACUGUAAGAAAGGAAAGGCUUAUCUGGGAAGGAAACUUGAACUGAACAUUUAACAUCUAUUAAUUUUGGCGUUGAUGACUCUAUUCUUGUAUAAAUAAAUCUAUUAAACACAAGAAUAAAGGAAGUGUUCACGUGG